CAGUCGCCGCGGUAAUGCGUAGGUGGCAAGCGUUGUCCGGAAUUAUUUGGCGUAAAGAGCUCGCAGGCGGUUUCUUAAGUCUGAUGUGAAAGCCCCCGGCUCAACCGGGGAGGGUCAUUGGAAACUGGGAAACUUGAGUGCAGAAGAGGAGAGUGGAAUUCCACUUGUGGCGGUGAAAUGCGUAGAGAUGUGGAGGAACACCAGUGGCGAAGGCGACUCUCUGGUCUGUAACUGACGCUGAGGAGCGAAAGCGUGGGGAGCGAACAGGAUUAGAUACCCCGGUAGUCCCUGUCUCUUAUAC
This 301-nucleotide ribosomal RNA is filed under the name uncultured bacterium. RNAcentral describes it as "partial 16S ribosomal RNA". It matches the Rfam family "Bacterial small subunit ribosomal RNA", at positions 509 to 807 of the family's 1533-position model. The record is from RNAcentral.